Molecule: small RNA, 138 nt
Filed under: Yersinia ruckeri
Lineage: Bacteria; Pseudomonadati; Pseudomonadota; Gammaproteobacteria; Enterobacterales; Yersiniaceae
Description: PepN 5' UTR thermometer
Rfam family: PepN 5' UTR thermometer
About the family: Position upstream of pepN gene responsible for amino acid processing.
Source: Rfam by way of RNAcentral
CAGUCUGAGUCUCGAUGGAUGGCCGCUGUUGUUCAGCGAUUGAGCCACCUGAGCACAAAAACGACAAGCCAGGUAAAUAUACUCACUGAUGACGUCAAAAGGGUUUUUAUGACACAACAGCCGCAAGCUAAAUACCGU